GGUUAAGCGACUAAGCGUACACGGUGGAUGCCCCGGCAGUCAGAGGCGAUGAAGGACGUGCUAAUCUGCGAUAAGCGUCGGUAAGGUGAUAUGAACCGUUAUAACCGGCGAUUUCCGAAUGGGGAAACCCAGUGUGAUUCGUCACACUAUCAUUAACUGAAUCCAUAGGUUAAUGAGGCGAACCGGGGAACUGAAACAUCUAAGUACCCCGAGGAAAAGAAAUCAACCGAGAUUCCCCCAGUAGCGGCGAGCGAACGGGGAGCAGCCCAGAGCCUGAAUCAGUGUGUGUGUUAGUGGAAGCGUCUGGAAAGGCGCGCGAUACAGGGUGACAGCCCCGUACACAAAAAUGCACAUACUGUGAGCUCGAUGAGUAGGGCGGGACACGUGGUAUCCUGUCUGAAUAUGGGGGACCAUCCUCCAAGGCUAAAUACUCCUGACUGACCGAUAGUGAACCAGUACCGUGAGGGAAAGGCGAAAAGAACCCCGGCGAGGGGAGUGAAAAAGAACCUGAAACCGUGUACGUACAAGCAGUGGGAGCACGCUUAGGCGUGUGACUGCGUACCUUUGUAUAAUGGGUCAGCGACUUAUAUUCUGUAGCAAGGUUAACCGAAUAGGGGAGCCGAAGGGAAACCGAGUCUUAACUGGGCGUUAAGUUGCAGGGUAUAGACCCGAAACCCGGUGAUCUAGCCAUGGGCAGGUUGAAGGUUGGGUAACACUAACUGGAGGACCGAACCGACUAAUGUUGAAAAAUUAGCGGAUGACUUGUGGCUGGGGGUGAAAGGCCAAUCAAACCGGGAGAUAGCUGGUUCUCCCCGAAAGCUAUUUAGGUAGCGCCUCGUGAAUUCAUCUCCGGGGUAGAGCACUGUUUCGGCAAGGGGGUCAUCCCGACUUACCAACCCGAUGCAAACUGCGAAUACCGGAGAAUGUUAUCACGGGAGACACACGGCGGGUGCUAACGUCCGUCGUGAAGAGGGAAACAACCCAGACCGCCAGCUAAGGUCCCAAAGUCAUGGUUAAGUGGGAAACGAUGUGGGAAGGCCCAGACAGCCAGGAUGUUGGCUUAGAAGCAGCCAUCAUUUAAAGAAAGCGUAAUAGCUCACUGGUCGAGUCGGCCUGCGCGGAAGAUGUAACGGGGCUAAACCAUGCACCGAAGCUGCGGCAGCGACACUAUGUGUUGUUGGGUAGGGGAGCGUUCUGUAAGCCUGUGAAGGUGUGCUGUGAGGCAUGCUGGAGGUAUCAGAAGUGCGAAUGCUGACAUAAGUAACGAUAAAGCGGGUGAAAAGCCCGCUCGCCGGAAGACCAAGGGUUCCUGUCCAACGUUAAUCGGGGCAGGGUGAGUCGACCCCUAAGGCGAGGCCGAAAGGCGUAGUCGAUGGGAAACAGGUUAAUAUUCCUGUACUUGGUGUUACUGCGAAGGGGGACGGAGAAGGCUAUGUUGGCCGGGCGACGGUUGUCCCGGUUUAAGCGUGUAGGCUGGUUUUCCGGGCAAAUCCGGAAAAUCAAGGCUGAGGCGUGAUGACGAGGCACUACGGUGCUGAAGCAACAAAUGCCCUGCUUCCAGGAAAAGCCUCUAAGCAUCAGGUAACAUCAAAUCGUACCCCAAACCGACACAGGUGGUCAGGUAGAGAAUACCAAGGCGCUUGAGAGAACUCGGGUGAAGGAACUAGGCAAAAUGGUGCCGUAACUUCGGGAGAAGGCACGCUGAUAUGUAGGUGAAGUCCCUUGCGGAUGGAGCUGAAAUCAGUCGAAGAUACCAGCUGGCUGCAACUGUUUAUUAAAAACACAGCACUGUGCAAACACGAAAGUGGACGUAUACGGUGUGACGCCUGCCCGGUGCCGGAAGGUUAAUUGAUGGGGUCAGCGCAAGCGAAGCUCUUGAUCGAAGCCCCGGUAAACGGCGGCCGUAACUAUAACGGUCCUAAGGUAGCGAAAUUCCUUGUCGGGUAAGUUCCGACCUGCACGAAUGGCGUAAUGAUGGCGGGCUGUCUCCACCCGAGACUCAGUGAAAUUGAACUCGCUGUGAAGAUGCAGUGUACCCGCGGCAAGACGGAAAGACCCCGUGAACCUUUACUAUAGCUUGACACUGAACAUUGAGCCUUGAUGUGUAGGAUAGGUGGGAGGCUUGGAAGUGUGGACGCCAGUCUGCAUGGAGCCGACCUUGAAAUACCACCCUUUAAUGUUUGAUGUUCUAACGUUGACCCGUAAUCCGGGUUGCGGACAGUGUCUGGUGGGUAGUUUGACUGGGGCGGUCUCCUCCUAAAGAGUAACGGAGGAGCACGAAGGUUGGCUAAUCCUGGUCGGACAUCAGGAGGUUAGUGCAAUGGCAUAAGCCAGCUUGACUGCGAGCGUGACGGCGCGAGCAGGUGCAGCAGGUCAUAGUGAUCCGGUGGUUCUGAAUGGAAGGGCCAUCGCUCAACGGAUAAAAGGUACUCCGGGGAUAACAGGCUGAUACCGCCCAAGAGUUCAUAUCGACGGCGGUGUUUGGCACCUCGAUGUCGGCUCAUCACAUCCCGGGGCUGAAGUAGGUCCCAAGGGUAUGGCUGUUCGCCAUUUAAAGUGGUACGCGAGCUGGGUUUAGAACGUCGUGAGACAGUUCGGUCCCUAUCUGCCGUGGGCGCUGGAGAACUGAGGGGGCUGCUCCUAGUACGAGAGGACCGGAGUGGACGCAUCACUGGUGUUCGGGUUGUCAUGCCAAUGGCACUGCCCGGUAGCUAAAUGCGGAAGAGAUAAGUGCUGAAAGCAUCUAAGCACGAAACUUGCCCCGAGAUGAGUUCUCCCUGACCCUUUAAGGGUCCUGAAGGAACGUUGAAGACGACGACGUUGAUAGGCCGGGUGUGUAAGCGCAGCGAUGCGUUGAGCUAACCGGUACUAAUGAACCGUGAGGCUUAACCUU
RNAcentral lists this ribosomal RNA (2893 nucleotides) under Escherichia coli. Its description in RNAcentral is "23S ribosomal RNA". It matches the Rfam family "Bacterial large subunit ribosomal RNA". The record is from RNAcentral. Lineage: Bacteria; Pseudomonadati; Pseudomonadota; Gammaproteobacteria; Enterobacterales; Enterobacteriaceae.